Otolemur garnettii (small-eared galago) is the source of this 161-nucleotide non-coding RNA. The record is from Rfam. NCBI's taxonomy places the organism in Eukaryota, Metazoa, Chordata, Mammalia, Primates, Galagidae.
AUACUUACCUGGCAGGGAGAUACCAUGAUCAUGAAGGUUGAAGGUGGUUUUCCCAGGGCAAAUAUCCAUUGCACUCCGGAAGUGCUGACCCCUGCGAUUUCUUCAAAUGUGGAAAACUCGAUUGCAUAAUUGGUGGUGGGGGAGACUGUGUUUGCGCUUAA